GACGAACGCUGGCGGCGUGCUUAACACAUGCAAGUCGAACGGAAAGGCCUCAGAUUGCUGGGGUACUCGAGUGGCGAACGGGUGAGUAACACGUGGGUGAUCUGCCUUGCACUCUGGGAUAAGCUUGGGAAACUGGGUCUAAUACCGGAUAUGAACUGCCUUUAGUGGGGUGGUUGGAAAGAUUUUUCGGUGCAAGAUGAGCUCGCGGCCUAUCUGCUUGUUUGUGGGGUAAUGGCCUACCAAGGCGUCGACGGGUAGCCGGCCUGGGAGGGUGUACGGCCAAAUUGGGACUGAGAUAAGGGCCAGGACCCUACGGGGGGCAGCAGUGGGGAAUAUUGCACAAUGGGCGGAAGCCUGAUGCAGCGACGCCGGGUGGGGGAUGACGGCCUUCGGGUUGUAAACUCCUUUCGACAGGGACGAAGCUUUUUGUGACGGUACCUGUAUAAGAAGCACCGGCUAACUACGUG
Molecule: ribosomal RNA, 467 nt
Filed under: uncultured bacterium
Lineage: Bacteria
Description: partial 16S ribosomal RNA
Rfam family: Bacterial small subunit ribosomal RNA
Source: RNAcentral